GGAGAGGUGCCCGAGUGGUUGAAGGGAACAGUCUUGAAAACUGUCGUACUGGAAACAGUACCGUGAGUUCGAAUCUCACCCUCUCCG
This 87-nucleotide transfer RNA is filed under the name Candidatus Magasanikbacteria bacterium RIFOXYA2_FULL_44_8. Its description in RNAcentral is "tRNA-Ser". It matches the Rfam family "tRNA". From Rfam's summary of the family: Transfer RNA (tRNA) molecules are approximately 80 nucleotides in length. Their secondary structure includes four short double-helical elements and three loops (D, anti-codon, and T loops). Further hydrogen bonds mediate the characteristic L-shaped molecular structure. tRNAs have two regions of fundamental functional importance: the anti-codon, which is responsible for specific mRNA codon recognition, and the 3' end, to which the tRNAs corresponding amino acid is attached (by aminoacyl-tRNA synthetases). tRNAs cope with the degeneracy of the genetic code in two manners: having more than one tRNA (with a specific anti-codon) for a particular amino acid; and 'wobble' base-pairing, i.e. permitting non-standard base-pairing at the 3rd anti-codon position. The record is from RNAcentral. Lineage: Bacteria; Candidatus Magasanikiibacteriota.